CCGGUUGAGGUAAUCUCCAGCAUCUUUUCUUUUACUUACUUUGCUCUUUUAUUUUAUAUUCUCAAGCAUGGUAUUAAAUAUAAAAAUGACAUCAAGUGGUUGAGUCUGAAUUUUAUUGUUGUCAUGUUUAAAAAUAUUUAUCUAUUGUAAAAGACCGUCUGUAAGUAAUCUUUUUGCCAAAAUAAACAGGGGUGAUUAUUAUCAUUAAAAAAAAAAAAUUUGUAUUUCCCUGAGAAAGAUCACAUAGGUCUUUCUUUCACUCACAACCAGGUUUUGGUGUAGAAACUGACCAUGAGAUACUUCUCAUGAAAAAUAUGUUGCAUAACCUUAAAAUCAAGAUUACCUAGGAGUAAUAAUCAUAGUAGCAAAACAGUGACAUCCUUUAUGAUUGUUUAGCAGAAAAUCAUUUAUUUUUAACACAAGACCAGGGUAGGAUACUCUCAAAAACAAGUAUAAGGGUUCCUUGUUUUGCCCUUGUCUUAAGUUGGAUCACAUUGUAUUUCCAUGUGGAUAGUGUCCUGAUAUAUUUAUUCUGCCUCCAGGCAAAGAAAUAUAUAUUUCUAACAGGCAAAAAAAUAUAUAUUUAUUCUGUUUCCAGUCUUCCACUGUUUCAUGUCUAGUUCUUUUUUAAGUUCCAAAAUAAAAAAAAUAAUGCAUGGUUCAUUUCUUCCUCUAUAGGUACCAGUGAUGAUGUUGUUCUUGUAGGCCACCUAUCAAGCAAUUUCCGAUUACCAAAAGCCCUACCCAUAAGCAAUUGCACGAGAGCUUAUGCAUGUGGAAGUAUCUAUCAAUGGAAAACCUACUAAGGCUAUAAUAGACACCUUUCAAAAUUGGAAAGCAUGACAUACCUUUAAAAAAUACAAAAUGGAGGGCAUGAGAUGGGUAGGAAAGCAUGAGGAAUGACGGAUGAAUUUAACAUAUGUAUAACACCUUUUCUAAUGGAAACUAUGGCUUACUCUGCAACAUGUCUAUGCCCGAGUUACAUUACUUCUUCCUUAAAAGCAUAAAAAUUGGUUUUAGAAGUGUAUUUUUACUUGGAGAAUACAAAUCCUAUUUUCUGCAUUCAUAGCUUUAGAGUUAAGAGACUUGGAAUUUUGUGUAUUGAAACUAGGACAUGAGAACAUGCAAAUUCACAUGCAAACCAACAAGAAGAUAUGUAGACAAAAAUAUAGUGGAACUAGUCUCAUUUGAAGACCCCUGAUCAAAUUAAUUUUAUUUUUCACAUAAAAAGAAGAUUAUACUUGUGAUUUCAUAGAAUCACUACAACAAUAUUUAUGGCCACAUCUUAAAAAUAUGAUGAGAAAUUAUUUGUUGAUAAAUAAAUAAAUCAUGUACACAUACUCUAUCACGAAACCAUUCAAAAUAGUCAUGAAUAUUGGAAUCCCUGAAUAUUUGAACUCUUUAGCAUGUAUUCUAAUUAAACUAUUUAAAUAUGUUGAAUUCAAGGACAUAAUGAAUGUAGUUUUGAAAGGAGGAAGCAACAUUCUUAGAUCUGCUUUAUUAUUCUAGGGAAUCACUAUAACACUGUAAUAGCACCUAUCUAUCUCUCUCUCUCUCUCUCUCUCUUUCUCUCUCUCUCUCUCUCUCACACACACACACACACAAACGUAAAAAAGCAAGCUUCUACUAACUUGAGUAUGUUCUAUGAAUACAAAAAAAAAAUAGAACAUGGAAUCUCAGGUUAACAACAUAAACAAAAACAAAAAAGGAAAAAUAAAAAAGAAAAACAAAUGAAAAAUUACUGGCAAGGGAAUUUGAUUUGGAAAGUAUACAAAAGAGACUAUUUUCUUUUAAUAAAACGAGGUCGCAAUCACUCUCGUCCAUCAGAUUUCGAAUCAGGUGGUUGUGAGUGUGUUAUUCACUUGGCUCAAGCUUAAAAAAAAAAAAAUCUCUAAACCCCAAGCCAUCCAAUUUGAUAUAUAAUGGCUAACAACAAUCGUGCUCUCUUUGAAAAAAUAUAACUAAUCUAAUAGUAUAGAAUUCCAUAUAAAGCUAUCUUAGGGUGGGGUGGGGCUGAUCCAACAUAUAACAAUUUUCGCAAAUAUAUCAAAUGGGAAAUAAGGAACCUGCGAUAGAAUGUUAUAUUAUUAUUUAUGGAAUUGUUACUUAGAAGUUUAACAUAAUGAAUUUAAAGAUGUUCCAUCAUUAUUUUUUAAAGUAGAAAAAGAUUUCAAUCCCCCACGAGAGCAUAUAUUGUUCAUUGAUUCCCUAAGUUAUGGCUCAAUUUUAGAUUAUUUUUAAGACUUCAAAAUUUGUUGAUGUAAGAUAAUUUAUCUUUAAUACAUGGAGUUUUUGUUUUUUGGUGGUGCAAGGAUUUUACAAUCACCUAUGACCAAGAGACUUACCUAUUACCAUUAAACGUGAAAUAUAACAUGUUUGGUAUGUCACAAAGUUUGGUUAAACUUUGAUUUUGCCUAGUCAAUAGAACAAACUCAACUAUCCACUUUUACAUCCAACGAUCAAGUUUGAUUGUGACAUCCAUAUACUAAAUACAAGUGUGGUCUUCUAGUUUAUUUUCCCAUAACAAACCAUCAACUGCCCCCUCUACUCUCUCAAUGGGGGAGACCAAAAGACAUUCAAAUAGAUAUGUCCCAUUCACUCUCCUCUACUUUUGGCUUUGUUGUGGCUUCAUUUUUGCUCAUGUAGGGUUUCACUCUCUAAAGGUUUCAACUACAAAGACAAUCUUCUCCUUUUUCUACAUUCUCUCUUUUACUAAAAUUCAUAUCUCAUUAUCUUCUCCACCUACUCAACUUUCUCUCACUACAAAUGUUAACUUUCUCUCACUACAAAUAUAUGUACAUGUCACCCAAAUACUACACAUUCAAAUCUCACUCCCAUUGUUCUCUCACUAAACAAGACAAGCCUACCCACACAAAUCAUUCUCUCUCACUUCACUUCUCAUAAAUCCCCCAUCCCUCUCACUUCUCUCUCUCUCUCUCAUUGUGGAAGCAAAAGCAUGUUGGCCACAAACACACAUUCUCUCUCUCUCACUCAAACAUUGGCAUCUUGACAACAUAGCCCCUCGGGGUGUAAGUAGGCAAGGCGGGCCCAACAUGUUCUUCAUGUUGCACAUUAGCCUGGUUAUGGAUUUUUUAUUUAGAAAAAUAUAUUAUGAGACUAUUUUUAUUUGUUUCAAGGGGGUCACAAUCAGCUAAUCACUCCUAAUAAUUAGAUAUUUAAUUAAAUGGUUUGGGAUAUUCUCAAAAUCUAAAAAUUUAAUUUCUCAAAUAAAUUAAUUUUUAAAAAUAUUGAGGGAUGCUAAAAUGCAAAUUUUCAUAUGUUUAACAACAGAAAGUGGGUAAUUUAGUCAUUAAAAAUUGUGAAGUAUUAUUGUAAUAACUGGUAGAAACUGGGUACAGAUGUAAUGAAAAAAAUGAACACUAAAAUUUAUAUAACAUUUGAGAAAAGGAUAUGUGCAAAUUUUAAUUUACCUAUAUAAGCUGGUGACUAAAAUUACUACUACAUGGCCUUAUCGGCCUUUUUUCUCUCUUGUUUUUGCUUCUAACCUCAAGAUAAAUUGUAACACUUGAAAAAUAUAACCAUCAUUUAAGUGAAUUCACCGAAAAAAGAAUUAUAAAAGAGAGUAAUUGGUAAUUUUAGAUCGCUUUAACUUUUAAUAGAGCACAUAUAUUAUGCUCUUUUGGGAGCAUAGUUUAUUUGUACUUCGAAGGACAUAUGACUUAUUUGGAAGGAUAUUUUCAAUCUAAAAUAAUGUGAAGGACAUAAACAUCACUAGAGGGAUGAGUACUCUCAAAAAAAUAAAAAAUUAAAAUUUGAGUUUUUAACAUUUAGAUCUCCCCUUUUAAAAAUUGGAUGGUUCACAUUCAAUCUUGAGAUGGUACUUUUUUUCAAGUGGUUGUAGGGAUCAUUAGGAAUGUGGUUAAUCUAUAGGUUGAUGAGGUUAUAUUCCAAACUCUGAGGUACUAAAGCUAAUUUUUAAUUGAAGGAGUAGAUACACAGUAUACUCCGAAGCGACUAUAAUACUUUUUCACCUUUAAGUAAUGGAAAACUUUUCUAUUUAAAUAAGAGGGUUAAAAGGAGGUUUCAUCGUUCCUCUGUCUCUUUUCUCAAGAUUCAAAACUCGAAAGCCAGAAGCUCCUCCGGCAAGUUUCUGCUAGUUCCGGGCGGCAGCUUCAACAGUCACAGGUGAGUCUUUUAUUUAUUUUGAUUUUUUGUAUCUAAUAUUCAGUAGUAUUUAAUAUUUAGUGCUUUAGGUUUAGAAAAUAGGAAAAUAAGGAGACAUUUGUUUCCAAUUUCGGUUUAGGUCAAGAAUGAGGGUUUUAUAGUUUUGUAUUGUUUUUUUUUUUUUUUCUUUUGGGUUUCAAUUUUAGGUUAUUAAAGAAGGGUUUUACAAUUUGUAAAACCCCUCAAAUUACUACACUCAAAUAUAAAAAUUUGAACAAACCCUAUCUUUUUGGUUUUUUUUAAUAUAUUAGUUUUAACAUUUGAUAUUGAAAUUUAUAAGGGCUUAGACGAUGAAUCCUAAAUAAAAUCCAAACAAUGAAAUAAGGAGAAAAUUGAAAUUGCAAUAUCUGUUUUAGUUUAUGUUUUGUAAAGGACAUUAAUAAACCAGCAGAAAAAUGAAAAUGCGAAAAAACAAAGUGAAAUACAUAUGGGGCAUUUUUUUUGUUUUUCUACUUUUCUGUUUUCAAUUUUUGGAAUGGGAAAUCGAAAAUGCAGAAGAGAGAAAUUAGAAAAUCUUAGAAAACAGAAAAAAUAAAAUAAAAUUUAAAAAGAAAAAACGGAAAUAAAACAAAGGAAAAAAUCGAGAAAAACUUUCUAUUCUUCGGUUUUCUUUUAUAUACUAAUAUAGUUUUAGCUUUUAAUGUUGUAAUUUUCAAUGGCUUAAAUGCGAUUCCUAAAUAAAAUCAGAAAAAAUAAGAAAAUAAAGAAAAAUUGAAAUUGAGUUAUUAUAUUAUUAAUGAGUAUUUAUGUGUUAUUUACAAAUACUGUUAAUGAGUAUUUAUUUAUUUUUUCAAGAGUUAUAUUUGUUUCUAGUAUUUCCUAAUUUUUCUAUAUUUUCCAAAUUUUCCUUAUGUUACUAUUUUAUUAAUUAUUUAAUUUCUUAGACCUCAAUCUGUUUAAUUUAACUUUGAUUUAUUCUUUUCAUUAUAAAGUCCUCUGAAAUCCCAUCUUCCCUAAACUCUCCACACUACUCUCCCUCUUCCCCAAACUCUGCACAUUACUCUCCCUCUUCCCCUCCUUCCCCAAACUCUCCACAUUACUCUCCCUCUUCCCCUCCUUCCCCCUAGUACUCUCUUUUUCCUAACUCUCCAGAAGACUCUCCCUCUUCUCCCCAAUACUCUUCCUCUUUCCCCAACUCUUCCGAAUACUUUCCCUAUUCUCCCCAAUACUUUCCCUCUUCUCUCCAAUACUCUCCCUCUUCCCCAAACUCUCCACACUAACUCUCCCUCUACCCCUCCNNNNNNNNNNNNNNNNNNNNUUCCUCCACUCCAAUACUCUCCCUCGUCCCUCAACUCUCCUCAAUACUCUCCCUCUUUUCCCUAGUACUCUCUCUCUUCCCCCAACUCUCCACAAUACUCUCCCUCUUCUCCCCAAUACUCUCCUCAAUACUCUUCCUCUUCUCCCCAAUACUCUCCCCCUUCCCCCAAAAUACACUCCCUCUUCUUCGCAAUACUGUCGUACUUUGACUUGGAGUCUAUAGGCUCCAAUUCUCCCUCACCCUCUCCCCAAUACUGUCCCUCUUCCCCACAGUACUUUGACAUGGAGUCUACAGGCUCCAAUUCUCCAUCUCCCUCUCUCUCGUAUUCUCCCCUCUCUCCAUCUCCCUACUCUCCCCAUUCAUCCUAUGGUUAUUGAGUUUUUGUUUUUCUAUUAAAUUAAUAUUCUUUUGUAAUUUUUUUUUAGUUAGAAAAUUUAAUGUUAGUUAUUUCUUAACAAUUUUUUCCUUGUAAUCGGUGCCAUUAUGAAUUUUAAUAAGAAUUAUUUUUUUAUUUUCUCUCUGUUGUUCACUUGCAGGGGUAUCAGCGUCUCAUGGAGGCAUACAUUUAGGACGCCCAACGCGUUCGCAGAUCUCAUGACAAAUGACGGAGCCGACUUCACAAACUGUCCUGGACUACCUCUAAGCUAGCUGAUGAGGCUUUCUCUCCUUUUUGUUCACUACUCACAUACAUGUUGUAAAUAGGGUGUUAUAUAAACCCUUGCGGAGCCAACUCAAUGUUUUCACAGUAUUGGAGUCUUUUUUGACUUACUUCUUUGUUUAUUCAAUGUAACAGUUAACUUUCUGAAAAAAAAAAAAAAAAUUAAUGUGUAAUGUGGUUUGUCUCUACAUUUUGCAAUCUACUGAAAUACAAUGUUCUGAAAUUGAGUAUAAUUGGAAUUGUAAACAAG
RNAcentral lists this long non-coding RNA (6351 nucleotides) under Amborella trichopoda. RNAcentral describes it as "long non-coding RNA (ATRI_LNC003702)". The record is from RNAcentral. Lineage: Eukaryota; Viridiplantae; Streptophyta; Magnoliopsida; Amborellales; Amborellaceae.